This 206-nucleotide ribosomal RNA is filed under the name uncultured bacterium. Its description in RNAcentral is "partial 16S ribosomal RNA". It matches the Rfam family "Bacterial small subunit ribosomal RNA", at positions 568 to 774 of the family's 1533-position model. The record is from RNAcentral.
CGUGUAGCGGAGAUGCAAGUUGGGAGUGAAAUCCCGGGGCUCAACCCCGGAACUGCUUUCAAAACUGCAUCCCUUGAGUAUCGGAGAGGCAAGCGGAAUUCCUAGUGUAGCGGUGAAAUGCGUAGAUAUUAGGAGGAACACCAGUGGCGAAGGCGGCUUGCUGGACGACAACUGACGCUGAGGCGCGAAAGCGUGGGGAGCAAACA